CCCAGUCCCCCAAUCUAUCCAAAUCUCUCUGCAGCAAAGCAAUAUCCUGCUCACAUUUUAUUACUUUACAAAGUUUUGUGUCAUCUGCAAACACUGAUACAUGGCUUUCAAUGCCUAUUUCAAGAUCAUUUAUAAAUAUGUUAAAUAGAAGUGGUCCCAAAACAGAACCCUGAGGGACACCACUUACCACUUUUGUCCAGCCUGAAAAUUUACCAUUAAUUACAAUUCGUUGUACUCUAUCCUUAAG
Pelobates cultripes (western spadefoot toad) is the source of this 247-nucleotide non-coding RNA. Lineage: Eukaryota; Metazoa; Chordata; Amphibia; Anura; Pelobatidae. The record is from the annotation of a GenBank genome assembly.